RNAcentral lists this ribosomal RNA (459 nucleotides) under uncultured bacterium. RNAcentral's name for it is "partial 16S ribosomal RNA". It matches the Rfam family "Bacterial small subunit ribosomal RNA", at positions 338 to 795 of the family's 1533-position model. The record is from RNAcentral.
CCUACGGGAGGCAGCAGUGAGGAAUAUUGGUCAAUGGCCGGAAGGCUGAACCAGCCAAGCCGCGUGAAGGACGAAGGUGCCAAGCAUUGUAAACUUCUUUUGUCAAGGGACAAAAUCAGGCUCGAGAGCCUGACCGAGGGUACUUUAAGAACAAGCAUCGGCUAACUCGGUUCCAGCAGCCGCGGUAAUACGGAGGAUGCGAGCGUUAUCCGGAUUUAUUGGGUUUAAAGGGUGCGUAGGGGGGCUGUUAAGGCAGCGGUAAAAGCCCGGGGCUCAACCCCGGCGAGCCGUUGAAACUGGCUGUAUGGAGUGGUCGAGAGGUAUGCGGAAUGCGCAGUGUAGCGGUGAAAUGCGUAGAUAUUGCGCAGAACUCCGAUUGCGAAGGCAGCAUACCGGCGGCGAACUGACGCUGAGGCACGAAAGCGUGGGUAGCGAACAGGAUUAGAUACCCUAGUAGUC